RNAcentral lists this unclassified non-coding RNA (240 nucleotides) under soil metagenome. RNAcentral describes it as "partial contains 5.8S ribosomal RNA, internal transcribed spacer 2, and large subunit ribosomal RNA". The record is from RNAcentral.
AACCUUAUGGACCUGCGGGCGUAUACCUGCGGAAGGAUCAUUACCGAGUUAGGGUAGUCACUCACUGCCCGACCUCCCAACCCUGUGUCUACCACACUUUGUCGUUGCUUCGGCGGACCGGUUGACCAACUGGUCGUGACCGCCGGGGGCUGGUUCUGUCCCCCUGGAGAGCGUCCGCCGAUGGCCACACCACAAAAACUCUUGUACCGAAACGUGUCGUCUGAAUUAUAUUUGAGAAAU